Non-coding RNA from Pelobates cultripes (western spadefoot toad), 2543 nucleotides. Lineage: Eukaryota; Metazoa; Chordata; Amphibia; Anura; Pelobatidae. The record is from the annotation of a GenBank genome assembly.
AGUGUUUCCCAGAGUUUUGUUCAGGACUGUGAAGAAUCCAGUCUACAUGCUGGUGGUUUUGGCUCAGGCAAAUCUAUCACUUGUGGCAUGUAGCCUGGCAACAUUCCUGGCCAAAUUCCUUGAACGGCAAUUCUCUAUCACCGCUUCCUUGGCCAAUCUGAUGCUAGGUAAAACCUUUUAUUAAGCGUUUCUUCUGUCUGUUCCCUAGAAUACCUCUUAAAUCUUUUCUAGAUAAUGAGUUGAAAAAUAAUUCAGAAGAAUUUGUCAUUAUGGAAAUCGGAGGAAUCGGAGGAAUAUAAAAUACGUCAAAUUCCUCGGAAUGUGCUCUGAUAAAUCAGUAUCAAAUAUGUCUGUCUGUACUGUGUGUAAAAAUAAUCUACAUAAAUAUAUCAGAAAUUACUGCUAGCAAACCAUUUUAGAAUUAACCCUUUGAGAUUUAGUAUACACAUCAUAUACAUCAUGCUGCAUUACAAUGCUCUUUCCAUUUCGGACCCUCAAAAGGUUAACAAUGUAACUCUCUACAGUGCUAAGGUCAAAGAAUCUAAAUGUAUGAACAACUAGUUACUGCGGUGAAUUAAAUGUUUGAAAUGUCCCAGCCCAGCAACUACAGAGUUAAAAUACAAUUAUUUGAAAAGAUGAAAGUAUUAGAUGACGACAUACACAAUUUAUGCUACUAGACAUUGAGAUUCAAGGCACGUUACUUUUAUUGGUUUCUAUAAAAAAACAUAUCCUUUGUCUAGAAUGAACGUGAUACUUGUAAAAACAUUUAAAUUGAGUUUUUCCAAUGAAUCAGGUUUCUUAGAUAAAAGAGGGGUUGUUUGGGCCAAGGAUUUCACCGUUUAAUUGCUCGGUCAGCAAGCAGCACGUUGUCUUACAAAGAAGGGAUUGAACUAGCAUAACUGAGAAUUUGAUCCAAAGCUGUUUUCUAAUCAACUGUGCUUCAGAAUAAGAAAUAGACAAGCUCUGAACUAAAAUAGGUUAAUUCAUCAGGCAAUGAGGAACAACACCUUAAUUUCAACCAAAAAUGUAAAAUUGUCAAUAGAGAAUGAUAGAGAUGUUCAUCUUUUAUUAAAUCAACCACUAAAUGCUGCUUAAAGGAACACUAAAGGACACUUAAAGACAAUUAAAGAAUACACAAAGUGUAUGAAUGACACUUUAGCUGUAAAUACAUAGUUUAGAUCCCUUCCCUUCCAGACAGGGGAGUAAAAGGUGUGACAUGUCAUGAUUCCCUUUUAUUCCAGAAGUUUGGUCCUUAAGGGGUUAAACGUUUUCCACUGUGCGUCAGUCUAGGUAAAGUUGGCUCCACCUUCUUGACUGAGAUUAUCAAAACUGACCUUCUCAUCCAAUCCAAUGCUUUCCCUUAGAAAAUAUUGGGAGGGUAUUGUGCCUGCGUGACAAAACGCCACUCUGCGCCAAUUAGCAUCUCCUCGUAGAGUGUUGAGCAUGUCCAUGCAGAGUGUGGAUGCACUGAACAUUAAUGUUGCACGCUCUAGUUAAGCUGUAGUAAUCCUGGUGACUAUAGCGACCCUUUAAGCUAUGCUCAGCAAAUUGAUCUAAAUAUUGGUGGCUUAUGAGUGUUACUAUUUGCACUUACUCAGUGAUAGAGCCAAAUGCUUUCAAUCUUUGUUCACAAACCGAUUCCCAACACAAAUUUGGUCAAUUUUGAUUUAUGCCUUUUAGAGAAAUUCAUAAAAACACAUCUAUGUUAGUAGGUUUCCUUCUUCUGUGGGAUAUUUACUACACUCAUACAAUAUUAGUUAAAGGAAUAGUGACAUCAUAUUUUAAACAUGAGACAAAGGGUAAGGUUGAAUAAAAAGAGGGCAUUACUUAUAAACAUGCAUUACAAAUAGUACCCAAAGAGGCUACAGUACACACUGGAAUCUUUUAUUUAUUUUUAAAAAUACAACAUUCUGACAUUAUUGUUGUCACUUUUUAGCCAAUAUGUGAUUGAACUGGCACAUUAAGUAGAAUAUUUAACUGCUAUAUUAGCGAUUUGUUUGAAAAAAAAAUGACUAAUCCCAAAAAUAAUCAGAUUUUUCACAAGAAAAAAAAGAUUCCAUCAUUUAACUAAUUCAAUAGUUAUUUCACUUUGACCAUUUUAUAGAUACAACCACAACAGUCAACAUUAGUUCGAAAUGUGUCAGGUAACAUAACUAGAUAUUUUUGUUGCAUUUAGCAGCUUUUAUUGUACUUUUUUACAGUUGUAUUGCUUUAAUUUUAACACGAAUGCCAUAUGAAUGUAAUUAAGUGUCCUGAAUGUAAGUUGCGUUUUCGUAGCUGGUAUAUUAUUGUUUAUUGAUAACAUGUUUGCAUCUUGUUACUUUGUUUCCCAUAGGAUCUGUAAACAUUCCGGGAGCGAUGGCUGGAGUUAUCUUGGGUGGUGUUAUCAUGAAGAGGUUCCAGUUGAGCCUCAAGCAGUGUAGUGCCAUGUGUGUCAUUGGCGUGGUGUUGUGUAUUUUCUUUUCUUUUCCUUUAAUUUUCCUUGGAUGCUCAACACAGAAAUUUGCUAGUCCACAUGUUGAAAAUCUAGGAAGGUAAGAAAU